GCGUUGGUGAGGCCGAGGGGCUACGCCGCGACGAGUAGGAGGGUCGCCGCGGUGCGCACGGAAGCCCAGGGCGCGGGCCCGGGUGGAGCCGCCGCGGGUGCAGAUCUUGGAGGUAGUAGCAAAUAUUCAAACGAGAACUUUGAAGGCCGAGAUAUCCUGUUGUGAAAGUGUAUGCAUCAACGUGUAGAU
This is a long non-coding RNA of Thalassophryne amazonica, 189 nucleotides long. RefSeq lists it as uncharacterized. The record is from RefSeq and is a predicted model, not a curated record. Lineage: Eukaryota; Metazoa; Chordata; Actinopteri; Batrachoidiformes; Batrachoididae. The transcript has 3 exons.